UACGUAGGGUGCGAGCGUUGUCCGGAAUUACUGGGCGUAAAGAGCUCGUAGGUGGUUUGUCGCGUUGUUCGUGAAAACCGGGGGCUUAACCCUCGGCGUGCGGGCGAUACGGGCAGACUUGAGUACUGCAGGGGAGACUGGAAUUCCUGGUGUAGCGGUGGAAUGCGCAGAUAUCAGGAGGAACACCGAUGGCGAAGGCAGGUCUCUGGGCUGUAACUGACGCUGAGGAGCGAAAGCAUGGGGAGCGAACAGG
This 253-nucleotide ribosomal RNA is filed under the name uncultured bacterium. Its description in RNAcentral is "partial 16S ribosomal RNA". It matches the Rfam family "Bacterial small subunit ribosomal RNA", at positions 524 to 776 of the family's 1533-position model. The record is from RNAcentral.